This 497-nucleotide ribosomal RNA is filed under the name uncultured bacterium. RNAcentral describes it as "partial 16S ribosomal RNA". It matches the Rfam family "Bacterial small subunit ribosomal RNA", at positions 899 to 1397 of the family's 1533-position model. The record is from RNAcentral.
ACUCAAAGGAAUUGACGGGGGCCCGCACAAGCAGCGGAGCAUGUGGCUUAAUUCGAUGCAACGCGAAGAACCUUACCUGGGUUUGACAUGCAAGGAAAUCUCAUAGAGAUAUGGGGUCCGCAAGGGCUUUGCACAGGUGGUGCAUGGCUGUCGUCAGCUCGUGUCGUGAGAUGUUGGGUUAAGUCCCGCAACGAGCGCAACCCUCGUUCUAUGUUGCCAGCACAUAAUGGUGGGGACUCAUAGGAGACUGCCGGGGUCAACUCGGAGGAAGGUGGGGAUGACGUCAAGUCAUCAUGCCCCUUAUAUCCAGGGCUGCACACAUGCUACAAUGGCCGGUACAAAGGGCUGCGAUACCGCAAGGUGGAGCGAAUCCCAUAAAGCCGGUCUCAGUUCGGAUUGGGGUCUGCAACUCGACCCCAUGAAGUCGGAGUUGCUAGUAAUCGCAGAUCAGCAACGCUGCGGUGAAUACGUUCCCGGGCCUUGUACACACCGCCCGU